Bactrocera tryoni is the source of this 194-nucleotide small nuclear RNA. RefSeq annotates it as U2 spliceosomal RNA. NCBI's taxonomy places the organism in Eukaryota, Metazoa, Arthropoda, Insecta, Diptera, Tephritidae. The transcript has a single exon. The record is from RefSeq and is a predicted model, not a curated record.
GUCGCUUCUCGGCUCAUGGCUAAAUUCAAAGUGUACUAGUUGUUAUCAGCUUAACAUCUGAUAGAUCCUACAUCUGGGAACAAAAAAAUUUAAACUGAUUUUUUGCAAAUGGACGAAAUGUUUUAGGGUUUUGCUCCAGCCCUUUCACGAGUUGUCCCGAUAUGCAGUAACACCGGGAAUUCGACUCAAAUUAU